Vicia villosa (hairy vetch) is the source of this 514-nucleotide long non-coding RNA. RefSeq lists it as uncharacterized. The transcript has 3 exons. Lineage: Eukaryota; Viridiplantae; Streptophyta; Magnoliopsida; Fabales; Fabaceae. The record is from RefSeq and is a predicted model, not a curated record.
CAGAUUUUUGUGAAAGAGAAGUGGAGAGAAAAGUGGAAGAAGUCAUACAUCCCAUUUCAAGUUUUCAUUUUCGUAUUCCUUGGACAGCCCCCACUAAACUGAUCAUAACUCUCUGCUCACAACUCCGAUUCAGAAAAACGAGCUUGAAGUUGGGACAUGCAUGCUGAAUGUGAAGAAGAGUGGGCUACGGAUUUGAUGAAGAUGAAGUGAAACUUUGACUAUGGUGGGAGUUCAAUGGCAGCAAGGAACAUCUUUCUAACCUCUCUAAAUCCAUGGUACAGUUUAGUAGUGGUUGGUCAGUAGCAGGUUUGGAUUGAAGACAUGGAAGUGGUGAUGGCUCAAAGACCUCGUCAGAUCUCUUUUUCCGCUGUGCAGAUCCAUUGAAGACAGAUGUUUUGUAAUUCUUGUUAGAAUUUCAUGUUGUAUUGUAUUAUGGAUCUUUCUAUAUAUAUAGCUUUUGUAUGUACUCAAUAUCAAUUUUAACGUUAUAUGCAUAAUAUACUAGUCAAUUAUG